This 834-nucleotide ribosomal RNA is filed under the name mycorrhizal basidiomycete of Epipogium roseum. Its description in RNAcentral is "eukaryotic LSU rRNA". The stretch from base 299 to 452 matches the Rfam family "5.8S ribosomal RNA". The record is from RNAcentral. Lineage: Eukaryota; Fungi; Basidiomycota.
AAGUCGUAACAAGGUUUCCGUAGGUGAACCUGCGGAAGGAUCAUUAUCGAAUAUCUAUGGCGUUGGUUGUAGCUGGCUCCUAGGAGCAUUGUGCACGCCCCGUCAUUCAUAUCAUCUUUCCACCUGUGAACCAUGUGUAGGCCUGGAUACCCUCGCUUUGGCAGCAAAGCGGAUGCAAGGAUUGCUGCGCCGACUAGGCCGGCUCUCUUUGAAUUUCCAGGUUCUAUGUCUUUUACACACCCCAUUUGAAUGAUUUAGAAUGUAGUCAAUGGGCUUUCAUGCCUAUARAAAACUAUACAACUUUCAGCAACGGAUCUCUUGGCUCUCGCAUCGAUGAAGAACGCAGCGAAAUGCGAUAAGUAAUGUGAAUUGCAGAAUUCAGUGAAUCAUCGAAUCUUUGAACGCACCUUGCGCUCCUUGGUAUUCCGAGGAGCAUGCCUGUUUGAGUGUCAUUAAAUUCUCAACCUCACCAGUUUUGUAACGAGACAGGUGUAGGCUUGGAUGUGGGGGUUUUGCAGGCUGCACUCAGUGCUGGUCUGCUCUCCUGAAAUGCAUUAGCGAGCUCAUAUUGAGCUUCCGUCUAUUGGUGUGAUAAUUAUCUACGCCGUGGAUUGGACUCAUGCUUGCUUCUAACCGUCCGCAAGGACAAUUUACUUGACCAAUUUGACACUCAAAUCAGGUAGGACUACCCGCUGAACUUAAGCAUAUCAAUAAGCGGAGGAAAAGAAACUAACAAGGAUUCCCUAGUAACUGCGAGUGAAGCGGGAAAAGCUCAAAUUUAAAUCUGGUGGUCUCUGGCCAUCCGAGUUGUAAUCUAGAGAAGUGUUACCCGCG